GAGGAAAGCAGGGGAUCGCAAGACCUUGCGCUUUUGGAGCGGCCGAUGUCUGAUUAGCUAGUUGGUGAGGUAAAGGCUUACCAAGGCGUCGAUCAGUAGCUGGUCUGAGAGGACGACCAGCCACACUGGGACUGAGACACGGCCCAGACUCCUACGGGAGGCAGCAGUGGGGAAUUUUGGACAAUGGGGGAAGCCCUGAUCCAGCCAUGCCGCGUGAGUGAAGAAGGCCUUCGGGUUGUAAAGCUCUUUCAGCCGGAACGAAACGGUCACAGCUAAUACCUGUGGCCACUGACGGUACCGGAAGAAGAAGCACCGGCUAACUACGUGCCAGCAGCCGCGGUAAUACGUAGGGUGCGAGCGUUAAUCGGAAUUACUGGGCGUAAAGCGUGCGCAGGCGGUUUUGUAAGUCAGAUGUG
RNAcentral lists this ribosomal RNA (416 nucleotides) under uncultured beta proteobacterium. RNAcentral describes it as "bacterial SSU rRNA". It matches the Rfam family "Bacterial small subunit ribosomal RNA", at positions 199 to 596 of the family's 1533-position model. The record is from RNAcentral. Lineage: Bacteria; Pseudomonadati; Pseudomonadota; Betaproteobacteria.